UAGGGAAUCUUCCACAAUGGGCGAAAGCCUGAUGGAGCAACGCCGCGUGUGUGAUGAAGGGUUCCGGCUCGUAAAACACUGUUGUAAGAGAAGAAUGACAUUGAGAGCAACUGUUCAAUGUGUGACGGUAUCUUACCAGAAAGGAACGGCUAAAUACGUGCCAA
This 164-nucleotide ribosomal RNA is filed under the name uncultured bacterium. RNAcentral describes it as "partial 16S rRNA". It matches the Rfam family "Bacterial small subunit ribosomal RNA", at positions 355 to 511 of the family's 1533-position model. The record is from RNAcentral.